AUGGACCUCAAGCUCUCCACCCUCCUCUGCUUCACUCUAUUAUUGUUCACCAUUCUCAUCCCAACUCUCUCCGAACUCUGCAACCCACAUGACAAGAAAGUCCUCUUUGAAAUCAAGGCAGCCUUCAACAACCCUUACAUCUUAAUUUCAUGGAACCCCGACGUCGACUGCAGUACUACUUGGAACAACGUCGAAUGUGAUCCCACCACCAACCGCAUCAUCUCCCUCACUAUCUUAUCCUAUGAUCGUAUCUCCGGCCAAAUCCCUCCCCAGGUCGGCGACUUGCCGUAUCUCGAAACCCUAGUGAUUCGCAAGCAACCAAAUAUAACAGGUCCUAUACAACCCUCCAUUGCAAAGCUCAAACAUCUCAAGACGCUUAGACUCGGGUGGAACAACCUCACAGGCUCAGUCCCUGACUUCAUCAGCCAACUCAAGAACUUGACUUUCCUUGAACUCUACUACAACAAUCUCACUGGCCCCAUCCCCAGCUCGCUUUCUAUGCUACCAAAUUUGGCUUCUCUUCGUCUAGACCGCAACAAGCUCACAGGUAAAAUUCCGAGCUCAUUCGGACAAUUCGUUGGCGUCAUUCCAGACCUCUACCUCUCCCACAACCAGCUAGCAAGAUGGACUUCAGAGGCAUAGACUUGUCACGUAACAUGCUCGAAGGUGACGCAUCGUUCCUUUUCGGGUUGAACAAGACAACACAGACUGUAGAUUUGUCAAGGAAUAUGCUGGAAUUUAAUCUGUCAAAUGUGGAGUUUACCAAGAGCCUGAUUUCACUAGAUUUGAAUCACAACAGAAUCACAGGGAGUAUUCCGGAGGAGUUGACUGAAGUUAAGUUGCAAUUCUUCAAUGUCAGUUAUAACAGGUUGUGUGGUCAGAUUCCAAUGGGUGGGAACUUGCAGAACUUCGACAACACCUCGUACUUUCAUAACCGGUGCCUCUGCGGUACUCCACUCCCGAGCUGCAAGUAAUGCACCGCUGCAUGAAAGCUUAGGCAGCUGGCGAUCAAUAACAAAGGUGCUUGAAAAUAAGCAGCACCUAGGCCUUGCCUGAUAUUUCUCCUUCAAAACGGUCAAGGAAAUUAACAAAUGCAUGUUGACAGGAAUUUCAAUCACAACCUUCUAAAGUGCAUUGUGUUGGCUUGUACCAAAAGAAAAAAGGUUUCAGGUUCACACUUCAAAGUUCAAACUUGGUGAAGUAUUAAAUAUGGAUCCAAAAACUGUACCUCUUGCAUGUAUUGACUCUAUCUUUCAACUAGGUAUAUUAAAAUAACGAUUAAC
RNA transcript from Fragaria vesca subsp. vesca, 1283 nucleotides. It is a transcript of the gene named polygalacturonase inhibitor-like, with no coding region annotated. The record is from RefSeq and is a predicted model, not a curated record. The transcript is spliced from 2 exons. NCBI's taxonomy places the organism in Eukaryota, Viridiplantae, Streptophyta, Magnoliopsida, Rosales, Rosaceae.